UCUUCAGAUGAUGAUCCCAAGCCUUCUGGCGAUCUCUUAUAAAGAAAGCCCUCCAUAAUAAAUUGAAAAGGGUCCUUUGGGGAAAAGUUUUCCCUUUGAUAAGAUGAAACCGGGGAAGGUUUUCCGGUUUAUCCCGGAGGGCUUGUAGCUCAGUUGGUUAGAGCGCGCGCUUGAUAAGCGUGAGGUCGGAGGUUCAAGUCCUCCCAGGCCCACCAAUCAUUCUAUCAAUCUAUAAGCGCUUGUGGAAAUUGCUCAUAGAAAACUUUCUUUAUUCAUUUAUGAAAAAUCUCCUUAUAGAGAUAGAGAGAGACGCUUUUCCCUUUGGGUUUGAAAACUCAAGAUUACAGGUGUUAAAGUGGCUUUAAAGGAAAAGUGACAAAGAAUAAGGAAUAACGAUUUAAGUUAUCCCUUUUUGGUGAUCUUGAUUUGGGUGUUUUGAAUGCGUUAUGUUUUUUAGGGGGGCCGUAGCUCAGCUGGGAGAGCACCUGCUUUGCAAGCAGGGGG
Molecule: unclassified non-coding RNA, 504 nt
Filed under: uncultured Bartonella sp.
Lineage: Bacteria; Pseudomonadati; Pseudomonadota; Alphaproteobacteria; Hyphomicrobiales; Bartonellaceae
Description: partial 16S-23S ribosomal RNA intergenic spacer
Rfam family: tRNA (bases 139-212)
Source: RNAcentral